RNAcentral lists this ribosomal RNA (465 nucleotides) under uncultured bacterium. Its description in RNAcentral is "partial 16S ribosomal RNA". It matches the Rfam family "Bacterial small subunit ribosomal RNA", at positions 28 to 507 of the family's 1533-position model. The record is from RNAcentral.
GACGAACGCUGGCGGCGUGCUUAACACAUGCAAGUCGAACGGAAAGGCCCUGCUUGCAGGGUCCUCGAGUGGCGAACGGGUGAGUAACACGUGGGUGAUCUGCCCUGCACUUCGGGAUAAGCCUGGGAAACUGGGUCUAAUACCGGAUAGGAGCCAUUUUUAGUGUGAUGGUUGGAAAGUUUUUUCGGUGUAGGGUGAGCUCGCGGCCUAUCAGCUUGUUGGUGGGGUAAUGGCCUACCAAGGCGGCGACGGGUAGCCGGCCUGAGAGGGUGGACGGCCACAUUGGGACUGAGAUACGGCCCAGACUCCUACGGGAGGCAGCAGUGGGGAAUAUUGCACAAUGGGCGCAAGCCUGAUGCAGCGACGCCGCGUGGGGGAUGACGGCCUUCGGGUUGUAAACUCCUUUCGCUAGGGACGAAGCUUUUUGUGACGGUACCUAGAUAAGAAGCACCGGCUAACUACGUG